AUUUCGGCGUAGGUUCUUGUUUGAAUGAUUAGUUCAACAAUUAUUCCCUCGGCGAGAUUCGUAGAAAUUUAAGCUCCCACGUGACACAAACGUAUACUGCCACUUUAAGCAUUCCCUUCUGAUAACUUGCUGCUGGUUGGUUAAAAACAACAAUUUAAGCAAUUUAUUGUUUUAUGGUUAAUUUGAAAACAUUCACCGAACGUUUGUACAAUACCAAAAUGUCGUGAAAGUGCCAACUGCCAUUGUAUUGGCUAAAACCUAGGCCACGCCCACAAUCUCGGAAGUGACCGAAGGUCGCGAUGCAAUCGAAUACUGUUGUAAUCAAAUGCAAGAAUGGACACCUUGCGACGGAAACCAUGAAAGUUGUGAGAGAAAAGAACGGAGAGUCGCCACCAAAAAACAAAGAUCAACUACCAACCAAAACACAGGAUUGACUCCAAGCGAUUUUGUCGACAAGAGUUUAAGGAAAUUUCAGCCCAGCCGUCAGUGGAAGACAUUUGAGGAAGCAGCCUUGACUUCCAAGCGACGCCACAGAGGAGCGGCGCCCCCCCCAGCUAGCCAGCCCACCCCCUCCACCAGAGGCCGCGACCGCUGUGACGCAUCAGUGCGUGCCUGCUGACCGUGGUCGUCACGAGGAGCAUGAGGGGCAGCGGGGGCUUUCAUGCUGGCAGACCGUGUCCGUCACUACAGGUGCCACAGCUCAAGGGGGUCAUCGAGGGGACCUGAUUUGAAGAUGCGAACGACAUCAAAGUGGUUUAUGAAGACGGCGCUGCGAUCCAUGGGAAACCCUUCCAGGAGUUCAUGAAGUACAAAUGGAGCUUCUCAUAUAUCUGAAGGACGGCGGUCACCCCCGUGGCAAGAUCAUCUCAGCCCAGUUUGUCUUCAUUUCAAACGAGUGACCCAUCAAAGCGCCAUGAAUGCGAGAUGCGCGUCGGCAGAAAAGGGCAGCGGCGCUUCAGCAGCAGCAUGGAAAUGAG
This is a long non-coding RNA of Hippocampus comes (tiger tail seahorse), 977 nucleotides long. RefSeq lists it as uncharacterized. NCBI's taxonomy places the organism in Eukaryota, Metazoa, Chordata, Actinopteri, Syngnathiformes, Syngnathidae. The record is from RefSeq and is a predicted model, not a curated record. The transcript has 7 exons.